GUUUAGGGUUUAAGGUUUAGCGUUUAGAGUUUAGGGUUUAGGGUUUAGAGUUUAGAUUUUAGGGUUUAGGGUUUAGGGUUUAGGAUUUAGGGUUUAGGGUUUAGAGUUUAGGGUUUAGGGUUUAUGGUUUAGGGUUUAGGGUUUAAAGUUGAGAAAUGAGGUUUUGGGGAUAAGAUUUCUAAUUUUGAAAAUAAAAAAAUUAAAAUUUUCAAAGGAUAAACUUAGAAAGGUGCUAUUUUGGUCAUUUUCGUUUUUGAGUGCUAUUUUUGUGAUAUAAACUUAGAAAGGUGUUAUUUUGGAGAUUUGCCCUUUUACUAAUCAAAUGAAAAAUAUUAUAAUUAUUGUAUGAACAAGAAAAAUGAGUGAUGACAUUUGGUGAGAAUGUACCGAAAAAUUACAUGUCGGCGAUAGCUAAAUAGAA
RNAcentral lists this long non-coding RNA (421 nucleotides) under Brassica napus (rape). RNAcentral's name for it is "long non-coding RNA (BNAP_LNC009393)". The record is from RNAcentral. Lineage: Eukaryota; Viridiplantae; Streptophyta; Magnoliopsida; Brassicales; Brassicaceae.